RNAcentral lists this long non-coding RNA (390 nucleotides) under Solanum tuberosum (potato). RNAcentral's name for it is "long non-coding RNA (STUB_LNC010736)". Lineage: Eukaryota; Viridiplantae; Streptophyta; Magnoliopsida; Solanales; Solanaceae. The record is from RNAcentral.
GUGAAAAGAGAAGGCAAAUCAAGAAGUGCAUGAAAGUCCCUCUUACCCAUGAUUUUGAGAAAAAAUGGAAACCCCCUCCAUAUAAAAAAGAAAAGAAAAGAAAAGAAAGGACAAAAAGAAAAAAAAGAAUGAAAAAGAAAGUUGUGGAAUAAAGUACAAAAGAAAUGGGGUCUCCUAACAAUUCAUGGGAAGCGAAUAAUAGGAUGACUAAUGAGCACUAAAGAAAAAUGAUGAAGGAAAAGGGAAGGAAUUGUUGUGAGCAUCACAUUCAUGAGGAUCUUUAGUCACUAAGCCUAAAUGACCAUACUUUUGCACUCAGCCCCAUUACAAGCCUUAGAAAGUCCUUUUUGAUCUUAAGCAAGCCAAACCGAAGGUUUAUUGGAAAAUAAG